CCAUCGCCUCUUUUAAGAGGCACCACCUACAAAGAUUAGAAAUAAA
This is a non-coding RNA of Stomoxys calcitrans (stable fly), 46 nucleotides long. NCBI's taxonomy places the organism in Eukaryota, Metazoa, Arthropoda, Insecta, Diptera, Muscidae. The record is from Rfam.